RNAcentral lists this ribosomal RNA (497 nucleotides) under uncultured bacterium. RNAcentral describes it as "partial 16S ribosomal RNA". It matches the Rfam family "Bacterial small subunit ribosomal RNA", at positions 28 to 507 of the family's 1533-position model. The record is from RNAcentral.
GAUGAACGCUGGCGGCGUGCCUAAUACAUGCAAGUCGAGCGAACAGACGAGGAGCUUGCUCCUCUGACGUUAGCGGCGGACGGGUGAGUAACACGUGGAUAACCUACCUAUAAGACUGGGAUAACUUCGGGAAACCGGAGCUAAUACCGGAUAAUAUAUUGAACCGCAUGGUUCAAUAGUGAAAGACGGUUUUGUUGUCACUUAUAGAUGGAUCCGCGCCGCAUUAGCUAGUUGGUAAGGUGACGGCUUACCAAGGCAACGAUGCGUAGCCGACCUGAGAGGGUGAUCGGCCACACUGGAACUGAGACACGGUCCAGACUCCUACGGGAGGCAGCAGUAGGGAAUCUUCCGCAAUGGGCGAAAGCCUGACGGAGCAACGCCGCGUGAGUGAUGAAGGUCUUCGGAUCGUAAAACUCUGUUAUUAGGGAAGAACAAAUGUGUAAGUAACUAUGCACGUCUUGACGGUACCUAAUCAGAAAGCCACGGCUAACUACGUG